Molecule: long non-coding RNA, 1392 nt
Filed under: Sorghum bicolor (sorghum)
Lineage: Eukaryota; Viridiplantae; Streptophyta; Magnoliopsida; Poales; Poaceae
Description: long non-coding RNA (SBIC_LNC007801)
Source: RNAcentral
AAGUAAAAGUUGUACAAAUGCUCUCACUACUAUGAAACUAGAGGUAGAACAUAGUAUCGUCCGACAUCAUGCCCUGUUCAUAAUCUCUGCAGAUGUAAAACUGUAAAUGGGAGUCUAGGACGAACCUUCAUAUGCAUGCAUGGAUAAGGGAGUUCCUCAAGGUCCCAACAAUUCCAUAGUCUCAACCUUCACUCCAGCAAAGAUCCACGGCCUCACCUCGUAUUUGAUUUUAUGAAGUAUCACAAAGUUUGUGGACUCUGUGCGCUCAAAACUCUCGCAAGUGCACUAGUAUGAUGAGCAAGCGUAGGUCUUUUCUACUCAUACCAUCGCAUUUGACAAGUUCGUUCACUACUUCUCAAGCGUCUCACUCGGCGGCCAUGCACUCAGGUGCAAGUAGUGGUUUUGUGUCCAUGUGGUGAUAUAUUUCCAUAGUCGCUUCGUGAACCUACAAUUCCUGAAAAGGUGCAAGCCUAUCUCCGCAUGAAGCCUACAUAGUGUGCUGGUUCCAUGGUUUGAACACCUCCUAGCUUCCAAUCUUUCGACAAUCCUAAUUGGUUCAUUGUUGUUCACUUUAUACGAGAAAAAAGUCCAAUUUGUCUCCCCAAUUAUUGUGAAAGUCGAUCAUUUCUCCCUGAACUCUAAAAGCAGACAAUUUCUCUCAUAGCUCUCAAAACUGGUAACUUUACCUCCAUGGCUGUUUCUGUUGGUGCGUUUUAUUUUUUUUCUUUUAUGUUUAUUUUAGGUGAAUCUUUGAAAAAUCAUAGUAACUCACAAAAAAUUCAUAAAAUGGAAAAUCUAAUGGCAUUGAACUCCACAUAAGUAGAUCUACAGUGAGCACAUGAUAUGAUAUGCUUUAGUAUAAACUUUUUGUUGUAACUUACAUUUAUAUUUUUCUAUAAUUAAUUCAUAGCUGUUCUUUCCCUUAUCCAAUUGUGGUGAAAUUUUUACAAUGGACUAAAAAUUGAAUGUUUGAGCUGUAAUGAAAAUGUCAUGCUUGGGAAUAAUUCAUGGUUGAGUUAUAGAUUUAUCUAGGUUUAUAUUUGUUGAAUAGUUUUUAAAUUAAAUUAAAUCUAUAACUCAAUCAUAUAUGAUCCAAUGAUGACUCCACACGAUAUUUUUUUUAUGUAUUACUCAUGUGUUUAGUAAACACUUUUUGCUAUAACUUUAGAUCUAUGUUUUUCUGUAAUUAACUCAUAACUAUAGCUUUUGGCCUUUUGUAGUCCAAUCAUUCAUGAUUGAGUUAUAGUUUUAUCUAUAUAAACCUAGAUAAAUUAAUAGAUGAAUCUAUAACUCAGUCAUAUAUGAUCCAAUGAGCAUGAAACUUUUUCUACUUCUCAAGCAUGCAGUGAAUCUACCAUAAAAGUUUUACCAUAAUUGGACAAUAGAAACUGU